Molecule: ribosomal RNA, 497 nt
Filed under: uncultured bacterium
Lineage: Bacteria
Description: bacterial SSU rRNA
Rfam family: Bacterial small subunit ribosomal RNA
Source: RNAcentral
AGAGUUUGAUUCUGGCUCAGGAUGAACGCUGGCGGCGUGCAUAACACAUUCAAGUCGAACGGGCAGUAUUCCUUCGGGGGUGCUGCUAGUGGCGGACGGGUGAGUAACGCGUGAGCAACCUGCCUCUGUGAGUGGAAUAACACAGGGAAACUUGUGCUAAUACCGCAUGACGAAGCGAAGCCGCAUGACUUUGCUUCCAAAGAUUUAUCGCACAGAGAUGGGCUCGCGUCCGAUUAGGCAGUUGGUGAGGUAACGGCUCACCAAACCGACGAUCGGUAGCCGGACUGAGAGGUUGAACGGCCACAUUGGAACUGAGAUACGGUCCAGACUCCUACGGGAGGCAGCAGUGGGGAAUAUUGGGCAAUGGGCCGCAAGCCUGACCCAGCGACGCCGCGUGAGGGAAGAAGGUCUUCGGAUUGUAAACCUCUUUGACAGGGGACGAAGUAAGUGACGGUACCCUGAAAACAAGCCACGGCUAACUACGUGCCAGCCGCCGC